This 271-nucleotide ribosomal RNA is filed under the name uncultured soil bacterium. RNAcentral describes it as "partial 16S ribosomal RNA". It matches the Rfam family "Bacterial small subunit ribosomal RNA", at positions 26 to 285 of the family's 1533-position model. The record is from RNAcentral.
AGAAUCAACGCUGGCGGCGUGCCUAACACAUGCAAGUCGAACGCGAGAGGGGCUUCGGCCCCAAUUGAGUGGCGAACGGGUGAGUAACACGUGGGUGAUCUACCUUUGAGUGGGGGAUAACGUUCCGAAAGGAACGCUAAUACCGCAUGACGUUCCGGGUUUGAAGACCUGGAAACCAAAGCCGGGGACCGCAAGGCCUGGCGCUUGGAGAGGAGCCCGCGCCUGAUUAGCUAGUUGGUGAGGUAAUGGCUCACCAAGGCUACGAUCAGUA